CGGGGGUAAACGGACAGAGCCCGUGAAUCCGGGCGACGGAAUUCAGAAUCGACGACGGCGGCGAACUCCGCCGUCGUCGUCGAUUCGAUAUUUCCGUCGCCGAGCGACAAUAAUUUUAUUUAUUGUACACGGACGUCGCGACCCGUUCGGCGUCGGUCCGCAGGAGACGUGCGAAAGUUCGCGGAACGUUGGUCGGGGUUUCGCGGCCUCGGCGGGCGUUUCGCGAGUGCGCGUUUUAGUUUUCUCAUCUGGCCGACUUGCCGGACGGUAUGCGAAGCGGUGAUCGCGGCGGCCUACCGCGCCGUCGCGUUACCGGUCCGCGACGAAUCUUC
RNAcentral lists this ribosomal RNA (332 nucleotides) under Macrocepicoccus loranthi. RNAcentral's name for it is "partial 28S large subunit ribosomal RNA". Lineage: Eukaryota; Metazoa; Arthropoda; Insecta; Hemiptera; Pseudococcidae. The record is from RNAcentral.